Long non-coding RNA from Perca fluviatilis (European perch), 1486 nucleotides. RefSeq lists it as uncharacterized. The record is from RefSeq and is a predicted model, not a curated record. The transcript has 2 exons. Lineage: Eukaryota; Metazoa; Chordata; Actinopteri; Perciformes; Percidae.
GAGGGCGGGAAUAACGUGACGCAGCAGAGAGACGAGACCCAAAGAAACCAUGAAAGAAAGGUGGCGGCGGCAUACCGUUUAUGUUUAUAUACUGUCCAUGGGCAUACACCCAAAAGUUGGUCGGUAGCACGCCAUUAAAUAAAGAAGAAUAAUAAAGAAGAUACGCAAACGGGGAGAAGACAACAUGGAGCUGGGAGAAAUAUUGAGAACACUAGGAUAGCAAAGCUAGCUAGCUUGGCUAACAUGGAAGUUAACAGACAAAGCUGUAGCGGUGGACAAUAAUGCACAAUUCUUGUUUAAUGCAGUUGAUUAACGUUAAGGGCAAAAGUUUGUUUUCGUGUGUCUGGCUAAGCUGAAGCUGACGUCGGUUGGUUGCUGAACCAGAGGACGCCAUUUCGGACCGGAGAGGAUGGUGUGUUUCCUGCUGCUGAGGACUUCGCUGUCUCGUUUCAUCUUUCGGACUUGAACUGUGUUUCCCGGACUGACGCCUAACUCUGCCGCGACUUAAAUCCUGAGAUAGGGGUCAUGAAAAAAAAUCCCUGAAAGAGAAAUUGAAAUAGAAACUGAAGAAGAGGAGGAUGUGUGGGUUCAGUUUGGCAAACAUCAACAAUUUCAUUCGCCAUGUGAGGCCUGAGAUGUGACAGUUUGACAAGUGGAAACCUCUGGGGAGAUGCCUCCCAUAACCCUGCAUGAAAUGAAAUCUGGAUUAUCAGAGCUAUCCAUGAAGGACACCAUUGGCCAGACAUGAACUGCACAGUCACUGUGUGUAUAAGCGUGUGUCCCGCAGAAAGUAACUAUCUUCACAGACGUAUCCACAGAGUAAUUUAAAAUAAGGUAAAACCAGUGAACAGUAGAGAAUAUGCAAUGAUUUGUGAUCCAGUACGUGCUGUGCCUCGUACAGGACCGAGAUGCUUCCUAACAACAGUUGAGAUUGAACAUGUUUUAUGUGAGUUUUCCAGCAGAGGUUGUGGUCUAAUAUCACACCUAGAAAUGUACAUACACGCUUUCAACAUUCACACCAUCUAUUUUAACAUGUACUUGAUUGUUUGACGUAGAAUUUCCAACAUGCUUGAAUUUAAUUGUAAUUUAUUACUGUCAAACCACCUUUUUAAUUUGCUCAUUUCAGAUGUGAUUAACUCCAGAAGCUGAUGCAAAUCCUCUCUGAUACAAAAAUUUGUAUCUGCAAAUCGGACACAUUUUUAGAAUGUAUAGUAUGUUUAGAAGGAUGUUUUACGUAAGUCAUUUAUGUAGAGAAUAAAAAAAGAAUUGGCCCCAACACUGAUCCCUGGGGGACACCACAAGCAAUGUCCAAACAACAUGUAUUCACCCAUCUUCACUAACGGUUGCCUGUUAUAAAGAUAGCUUCUCAGCCAGUUCAAAACAACCCCACUGAUACCAUACCGUUCUAGUUUACUGAUGAAUCUGUUAUGAUUUAUUGUAUGGAAUGCUUUCUUCAGAUCAAUAAAUACCCCAGCUGCAUAUUUGA